Small nucleolar RNA from Hyaena hyaena (striped hyena), 213 nucleotides. RefSeq annotates it as small nucleolar RNA U3. NCBI's taxonomy places the organism in Eukaryota, Metazoa, Chordata, Mammalia, Carnivora, Hyaenidae. The transcript has a single exon. The record is from RefSeq and is a predicted model, not a curated record.
AAGACUAUAUGUUCAGGGAUUGUUUCUCUUGUUCAUUACUUGAAAAGUGUCUCUCAAGUGUGGAGUACCGGAAACCAUGAGGAGGAGGUACAGCGUCCCUUCCUGAGCGUGAAGCUGACUCUGGGUGUUGUUUUUGCAGCUGCCCUUGUCCUGGAUGAUUGUUCUCUCCUUUCUUAGGAGGCUAAGAGGAAAGGGGUGCACUGUCUGAGUGGU